This 435-nucleotide ribosomal RNA is filed under the name uncultured bacterium. Its description in RNAcentral is "partial 16S ribosomal RNA". It matches the Rfam family "Bacterial small subunit ribosomal RNA", at positions 28 to 507 of the family's 1533-position model. The record is from RNAcentral.
GAUGAACGCUGGCGGUAUGCUUAACACAUGCAAGUCGAACGGACUCUUCGGAGUUAGUGGCGGACGGGUGAGUAACGCGUGAGAAUCUGGCUUUGGGUUCGGGACAACCACUGGAAACGGUGGCUAAUACCGGAUGUGCCGAGAGGUAAAAGAGAAAUUGCCUGAGGAUGAGCUCGCGUCUGAUUAGCUAGUUGGUGAGGUAAAGGCUCACCAAGGCAGCGAUCAGUAGCUGGUCUGAGAGGAUGACCAGCCACACUGGGACUGGGACACGGCCCAGACUCCUACGGGAGGCAGCAGUGGGGAAUUUUCCGCAAUGGGCGAAAGCCUGACGGAGCAAUACCGCGUGAGGGAAGAAGGCUCUUGGGGUGUAAACCUCUUUUCUUAGGGAAGAACAAAAUGACGGUACCUAAGGAAUCAGCAUCGGCUAACUCCGUG